AGUCAGAGGAGGGUUU
This 16-nucleotide microRNA is filed under the name Corchorus capsularis. RNAcentral describes it as "sRNA CCACVL1_04705". Lineage: Eukaryota; Viridiplantae; Streptophyta; Magnoliopsida; Malvales; Malvaceae. The record is from RNAcentral.